GGGAAUUGCCGGGGCGCAUGGGUGAGUAACGCGUAGAUAAUCUACCCUUCAGUCUGGGACAACUCUUGGAAACGGGAGCUAAUACCGGAUAAAACCUUCGGGUUGAAAGAUUUAUCGCUGGGGGAUGAGUCUGCGUACCAUUAGCUUGUUGGUGGGGUAACGGCCUACCAAGGCGACGAUGGUUAGCGGGUCUGAGAGGACGAUCCGCCACACUGGAACUGAGACACGGUCCAGACUMCUACGGGAGGCAGCAGUAGGGAAUAUUGCGCAAUGGGGGCAACCCUGACGCAGCAAUGCCGCGUGAGUGAAGAAGGCCUUCGGGUCGUAAAGCUCUUUUAUGGGGGAAGAUGAUGACGGUACCCCAUGAAUAAGCACCGGCUAACUACGUGCCAGCAGCCGCGGUAAUACGUAGGGUGCGAGCGUUGUUCGGAAUUACUGGGCGUAAAGGGCGUGCAGGCGGAUUGGCAAGCCGGAGGUGAAAGCCCGGGGCUCAACCCCGGAGGGUCUUUCGGAACUGCCAGUCUUGAGAGGGUCAGGGGCCAGCGGAAUUCCUGGUGUAGAGGUGAAAUUCGUAGAGAUCAGGAGGAACACCGGCGGCGAAAGCGGCUGGCUGGGGCCACUCUGACGCUGAGGCGCGAAAGCGUGGGGAGCAAACAGGAUUAGAUACCCUGGUAGUCCACGCCGUAAACGAUGGGCACUAAGCGUCCGACGGGUUCGACCCUGUUGGGUGCUGCAGUUAACGCGUUAAGUGCCCCGCCUGGGGAGUACGGUCGCAAGACUAAAACUC
RNAcentral lists this ribosomal RNA (787 nucleotides) under uncultured SAR324 cluster bacterium. RNAcentral's name for it is "SSU rRNA". It matches the Rfam family "Bacterial small subunit ribosomal RNA", at positions 85 to 902 of the family's 1533-position model. The record is from RNAcentral. Lineage: Bacteria; Deltaproteobacteria.